RNAcentral lists this unclassified non-coding RNA (583 nucleotides) under Hevea brasiliensis (rubber tree). Lineage: Eukaryota; Viridiplantae; Streptophyta; Magnoliopsida; Malpighiales; Euphorbiaceae. The record is from RNAcentral.
UUUAAACCUUGGAGUAAAUGUCAAAAUGAUCACAGGAGAUCAAUUGGCAAUUGGAAAAGAAACUGGGCGCCGCCUGGGAAUGGGUACAAAUAUGUAUCCUUCAUCUGCUCUGUUGGGGCAGACUAAGGAUGAAUCAAUUGCUUCUUUACCAAUUGAUGAACUGAUAGAAAAGGCUGAUGGUUUUGCUGGAGUAUUCCCUGAGCACAAAUAUGAGAUUGUAAAACGCUUGCAAGCUAGGAAGCAUAUCUGUGGAAUGACUGGAGAUGGAGUCAAUGACGCUCCUGCUUUAAAGAAGGCUGAUAUUGGGAUAGCUGUUGAUGAUGCCACUGAUGCUGCUCGUAGUGCUUCUGACAUUGUUCUUACUGAACCUGGUCUCAGUGUCAUCAUUAGUGCUGUUCUGACUAGUCGAGCAAUCUUUCAAAGGAUGAAAAACUAUACGAUAUAUGCUGUUUCCAUCACAAUCCGUAUUGUGCUUGGUUUUAUGCUUCUGGCCCUUAUCUGGAAGUUUGACUUUCCACCUUUCAUGGUGCUUAUCAUUGCAAUCCUCAAUGACGGUACCAUUAUGACAAUAUCAAAGGAUAGG